This 468-nucleotide ribosomal RNA is filed under the name uncultured bacterium. Its description in RNAcentral is "partial 16S ribosomal RNA". It matches the Rfam family "Bacterial small subunit ribosomal RNA", at positions 28 to 507 of the family's 1533-position model. The record is from RNAcentral.
GACGAACGCUGGCGGCGUGCCUAACACAUGCAAGUCGAACGGAAAGGCCCUGCUUUUGUGGGGUGCUCGAGUGGCGAACGGGUGAGUAACACGUGAGUAACCUGCCCUUGACUUUGGGAUAACUUUAGGAAACUGGGGCUAAUACCGGAUAGGAGCUCCUGCUGCACGGUGGGGGUUGGAAAGUUUCGGCGGUUGGGGCUGGACUCGCGGCUUAUCAGCCUGUUGGUGGGGUAGUGGCUUACCAAGGCUUUGAAGGGUAGGCGGCCUGGGAGGGUGACCGGGCACCAUGCGACUGCGAUACGCAGCAGAAUGCUACGGUAGGCAGCGGGGGGAAAUAUGGCACAGUAGGCCCGCGCCUGUGACGGCGGCGCCGGGUUCGGAAUGCCGGCUUUCGGGUUGAGAACCGCUGUCGCCUGAGACGAAGCGGGAGUGACGGUAAUGGAUAAAGAAGCACCGGCUAACUACGUG